CUAGCACUGCGUUUACAGCAUGGGUAGCCUCCACACAACAAGUUAGUACUUUUAAUAGUGGCAGUUUUCGGUGUUAAAGCUUAAUAAAAGCGAGCAAAAUGUAGCUUGAAAAGAACUUGGCACGUGUGAUAUUUAUAACUGAAGUGAUCCUGUACCAGGAACAAUGGAACAGGGUCACUACAGUAGAAAGCUGUAUAUACCAGGAACAAUGGAACAGGGUCACUAAAGUAGAAAGCUGUAUAUACCAGGAACAAUGGAACAGGGUCACUAAAGUAGAAAGCUGUAUAUACCAGGAACAAUGGAACAGAGUCACUAAAGUAGAAAGCUAGAAUUAUAACUCCUGCUGCCUAGCCAAUUUAUGUUAACUGACUCUCGAGGGGUCCGACACUGCGUGAAAUCUUUGUGAAAUCUCUGAAAUCUCGAGAUUUUGAAAUCUUGUAUGCUAAAAAUUACAGUGUCGGACCCCUCGGCUGACUCUGGGAUCCUACUCCAUGCAGGACCUGGAGCCAUACUUCUAUGAGACUCCAGGCUUCUUUGCUGUGAUCCUAAUCCACAGUGCAUAUUAAUACGGCCUGGUAUUGAUUGUAUCUGGGCGUGGCAGGAACCGGAAACAAAAGCAGAGAUUCUUUACAUUUUGUUUCCUGCUUUUUUUCUGUAAUACUAAAGGUGUACGUAGAGGCAUUUUACUCCCGUAAAAGUUACAGUAAUGUAGCUCCGUGUCAUGUUCUCAAUUUAUAGCUAGCUAGCUAGCUAUGGCAUGCAAUGCGCUGUCUUAUUUGAAGCAAGAUGGCCUCACUCUCAUGGCAGAACAGGCCCAGGCUCUCAAGCUCCUGUUUGAGGGAAGGGACGUGUUUAUCUGGUUCCCAACGGGGUAUGGCAAGUCUCUCUGCUAGAUCAGUUGCUACCCUUUUUAAUGGACUACAAGCUAGGUAGGACCAAGGCUCCUCCUAUUAACAAAAGUAUUGUUCUUGUUUCCCCUUGUAUCUCUUAUCGUGAGACUCAUGAUUGACCAGGUCAGGAGUCUAAACAAUAGAGGUGUUUCUGCUGCCAUCCUCAGUAGGCUAGCAAUAAAGGAAUCGACAAAGAUUUGGUUGCCACUGCCAAAGAAGUGUCUUCUGGGAAGUAUUUCCUGCUGUAUACUGCCCUAGAGGCUGUUGUUGAAGACCACUGUUGGAGGAUUCAUUUUUUGUUGUACCAGAGAGUCAAUGUAUUAAAAACCACGCCCAGAUCACGCCCAAAUACAAUCAAUACCAGGCCUAGUAGGAGACCUAGCGUUCAAUUGGAGAUGGAUCUGCCUGGGAUCGAGGCUAGAUCACUACAUGCACUGCAUUACAUCACUCUUUUGGUCUCUUUAUAAUCAUGUCAGCAGCCGAGGGUUUCCACUUUAGUGCUCUAGUUCAGCUGUAAUUAAUCCUGAAGUGACAAGUCAGCUGUCUUGUGCAUACGUAGCUACGUACGUCCCACGCAACGUGCAUGGCUGAUUGAAAUUUCCAUUAAACGACCGCAAACAACUUGUAUCAACUUUAAAGUGUGUAGGCUGAUUCCGGAAUUUAUACUAAGAAAACUCUUCUCCUCUGAUCCUUUGGGGGUUUUUUGGUCUUGUUUUGAGCUCACUUGCAUGUAUACUUAGCAAAUAACGUUCUCACAACAUUAAAUUGCUGAGUGAAUAGAUGAUUUGGAAUUAAAUGUUUUGAUAACCUGAACUGUUAAUUAAUUAUUCUUUAUUUCACUGUUUACGUAAGUACGACUUGGCUAUGCCAGCUGCUUGCUCAACGAUAAACAACAUUCCAAUUAUGAGUAUCCAUUACUUUCGAGUUUGAAUUGUCGAGAACAGUUAUAGCUUUUAAACGUAGGGAGUCUAUCAUGGUGUGCUCAGAUCCGUGACUGAUCAAUAUCGAUUACCGUGUAGCAUGAAAUUUUUUAUUUCGCGGAAGGGCCUCUAAAAGCAUUUCGUUGCACAAUUUCGUGGAAUGAUUGCUUACCGGAAGCCACAGCUUUAAUCUUUGCACGUUAUAGCUAAUAAUUUUUGUGGACUUAAUUUUCGUGUGGGAUUAGCGAAAAUUAUAAGCCCCUCAAAAUUUCGCGCUAUACGGUACUUCAAAGUAUAUAUUUACUCUAGGAAAAAUUAAUGACAGCUGCACAUGAGCAAUAUUAACAUUAAUCUAAAAUACCCUUUUUUACAAAUCAUCAAUUCAAGUAGGGUAUGUUAUUACAAGAACAAGUGUCAUUGUUUCACCAGCUGCACCAUUCACUACAUGCAGAUACAACAAUGAGCAUGCACAUAAGCACUCUCGCAACAAGUGCGCUACAACCCUCCACCUCUCCACUCACAAAAGAAAUGCUCAUAAUCAUCCGCAUUGUGGGUGGAGUACUUGUGCUGGUCCUUGUGAUGUUUAUCUUCGUUACUGCGAUGGCAUGCAUCAACAUGAGAAGACGACCACGUAUCUCUUCUACUCGCUCCAACAUUCAGAAACAGGCCACUGCCAAUGGUCACCAACCCAAUAUAUGAGGGAUCGCCAGUCUACGAGACAGUGGACCAACACCUAAAGUGUUUAACCAUGGAACGUCCCCACACACCCACCACACCCACUUCCACUGACCACCUCCUUAUCGAGUCCCCCUACGCCAUCACCACCAUUGACCCAAGCUACACUACUCAGAUCUCUCAACCAUUCCCAGAGCCGGAAAACUACACGAUCAUGAUCUCAGCUGGACACAAGUCAGUUAGCAGAUCGGAAUCAGAUGACGUGAGAUAUGUUCAAAAACCAGGUUCAAUGAACAUUGCUAAUACUGAAUGGUAGCUAGCUAUCGACGGAAUUUUUGAAUCAUUCGUAUCUCUGAAAUCACGGGUAUAUAAAUUACAGUUCCAUUCUUGUAAACGUUUUUUUCUGUUUCCCAAUACCCCCUAAAUACGGAUCUUAUUUGGUUGGCAUAAUAAUUGUAAAACUGUCGCACUUCACUCGUUCUUUUAUCCACAACUUUUCUGUAAACUUUCUUUUAUUACCUUUUCAUUGUUUGUAGUACAGAUGACUUUUGUGUGCUUUUUGAAGACUAAUCCAUAAAAUUAUACAAGGAAUACAAUGUAUAAA
Long non-coding RNA from Halichondria panicea, 3089 nucleotides. RefSeq lists it as uncharacterized. The transcript has 2 exons. The record is from RefSeq and is a predicted model, not a curated record. Lineage: Eukaryota; Metazoa; Porifera; Demospongiae; Suberitida; Halichondriidae.